GGUUAAGUUAAUAAGGGCACACGGUGGAUGCCUUGGCGUUAGGAGCCGAAGAAGGACGCAGCGAACUGCGAUAAGCCUCGGGGAGUGGUAAGCACACUUUGAUCCGGGGAUCUCCGAAUGGGGAAACCCACCAUCUGUAAUGGGAUGGUAUCCUUCACUGAAUACAUAGGUGAUGAGAGGGCAGACCCGGUGAACUGAAACAUCUAAGUAGCCGGAGGAAGAGAAAACAAUAGUGAUUCCGUCAGUAGUGGCGAGCGAACGCGGAAGAGCCUAAACCGUAGGAUUUAUCCUACGGGGUUGUGGGGCGUUUCAUAUAGGAGUUACAAAAGACAGAUGUAGGUGAACAGUUUGGGAAGACUGACCAAAGAGCGUGAUAGUCGCGUAACCCAAACAUCUGUCUCUCCGAGACCAACCCCGAGUAGCGCGGGACACGUGAAAUCCCGUGUGAAUCUGGCAGGACCAUCUGCUAAGGCUAAAUACUACCUAACGACCGAUAGUGAACCAGUACCGUGAGGGAAAGGUGAAAAGCACCCCGGGAGGGGAGUGAAAUAGUACCUGAAACCGUGUGCUUACAAAUAGUCGGAGCACUUUUUAUGUGUGACGGCGUGCCUUUUGUAGAAUGAACCGGCGAGUUACGAUAGCGUGCGAGGUUAAGUCGAAGAGACGGAGCCGUAGCGAAAGCGAGUCUGAAUAGGGCGAAAGUACGUUGUCGUAGACCC
RNAcentral lists this ribosomal RNA (719 nucleotides) under Brevibacillus laterosporus. Its description in RNAcentral is "partial 23S ribosomal RNA". It matches the Rfam family "Bacterial large subunit ribosomal RNA", at positions 1 to 716 of the family's 2925-position model. RNAcentral also lists the same sequence under 1 other name. The record is from RNAcentral. Lineage: Bacteria; Bacillati; Bacillota; Bacilli; Caryophanales; Paenibacillaceae.